AAAAGGUCUAAUAUAUUUAUUUUCCUCCGUUGCAUUACAAAGAACAUGAUCCAAAUAUUACAGUACUAGCCCAAUUCUGGACCUUUCAAUCAUUUUCUCAACUAUUCGAAAUUAGACACUAGAAAUGAUAUCCUAAAACAUAACAUAAGACUAUCCAACAGCAACACCAUUGUGGACCUUGCAAUCAGAUGAUAAGACUAUAUAGCAGCAACACCAUUCUCGACCUUGCAGUCAGAUGAUAAAACUAUCCAGCAGCAACACCAUUCUCGACCUUGCAAUCAGCUGAUAAGACUAUCCAAAAGCACCAUUCUAGACCUUGCAAUCAACGUCUAAGCCAUGCAUCGUCAAAAUAUCUUAUGAAUCUACAAAAAUAAAGAAAUGAGAUCAGUAACUUACGGUAGAAAAAAAGGUUAAUAGAGCAGAAAAAUUUAGAAGAGCUAGAUAUAAAGGUUGAAGGCCAUGCAAUAAUUAAUCCGGCUGCAUGGCCAGUAAUUUUUAACAUUUUUAGUGGUCGUAUCAACUGGUCAGCUUUUGCUAAUGUAGCACCAACUCUACAUGUACAUCUCUACGGAAGAAAAACUACAAUUCAUUAGUUUUUUAACCACAGAAAAACUGCAUAUCUAACUGAUAUCGAAUAAAGUUAUGUGACUAGUCGGCGAUAGCAUGAGUGAAUAUGAUGUGAUAUAUUCGCAAAACCCAGGCUAGUUAGAUUUGGAAAGUAUCACACAUCUGUAGCUGAAAGUAGAUAUUAGCGUACUAAACAAACUCACCCCAUUCCAUAAUUAAUUUUCAUCAUGUCGAUAGAAAUAGUAUUUUAUAGGAAGCGAGGGAAUGUAAUUUACACACACAGUAUUUGAUGAAUUGUUUUACCUAAUCUAGUUGUAUCGAGUCAUAUCUCGCAGAAGCAGUAUGAAAAUUUCACAUGCAAGAAAAGUGUUCUUUUUGUACAGAUUAGGUGGGGCAAAAAGAUAGGUAUAUGGUAGAUAAGAAAUAGUAUUCAGGAUGGCAAUUAGUAGUCCAAUUUCCCUUUGUGGUGAUAGAACUACAGUUACAAAUUACAUCAUAAAAAUUCCUAUCUGGCACUAGUGAUGUUCCAUGUUUAAGUGCCAAGAAUAUUGACAUGGAACCAGUGGUGAUGCUAGGAUUUACAAGCUGUGAUUUCAAAGCUAUAUAUUCUAAUUAUACAUUCACGUACUACACUUAAAUGUAGUAAAAUACAAGCGGCAAACCUGAACCAUGUUUUGUCUUUUGACGUCACAGCACC
Molecule: long non-coding RNA, 1264 nt
Filed under: Triticum aestivum (bread wheat)
Lineage: Eukaryota; Viridiplantae; Streptophyta; Magnoliopsida; Poales; Poaceae
Description: long non-coding RNA (TAES_LNC012688)
Source: RNAcentral